GCUGUGUGGCUCAGUGGUUAGCGCGCCGCUAUUAUUAGUACGCGGCGCGUUGGUUCGAUUCCUGUUGCGAGCA
Non-coding RNA from Pholiota molesta, 73 nucleotides. NCBI's taxonomy places the organism in Eukaryota, Fungi, Basidiomycota, Agaricomycetes, Agaricales, Strophariaceae. The record is from the annotation of a GenBank genome assembly.